UACGAAGGGGGCGAGCGUUGUUCGGAAUCACUGGGCGUAAAGGGCGCGCAGGCGGUGCGGUAAGUUAGGCGUGAAAGCCCCGGGCUCAACCCGGGAAUGGCGUUUGAGACUGCCGUGCUCGAGUUCGGGAGAGGAGCGUGGAAUUCCCAGUGUAGAGGUGAAAUUCGUAGAUAUUGGGAAGAACACCGGAGGCGAAGGCGGCGCUCUGGACCGAGACUGACGCUGAGGCGCGAAAGCGUGGGGAG
RNAcentral lists this ribosomal RNA (245 nucleotides) under uncultured bacterium. Its description in RNAcentral is "partial 16S ribosomal RNA". It matches the Rfam family "Bacterial small subunit ribosomal RNA", at positions 524 to 768 of the family's 1533-position model. The record is from RNAcentral.